CAUACUAUAGUAAGGCUUAAAAAGUUAUAGAGUAGUAAGGCAUGAAUAGUGUCAUGCCCUCUGCCCCUGCUCCCUGCUUGUGUGUUCAAAUCUGAUUACAGAUGGGAGACUGCUGUGCUGGAGUCGGGGCCUCUCAGCUGCUGCUCAUCUGGUCAUCAACCCACACUACAUAAGAUCUUGGGCCACAGUCAGUCAGCGCUGGAUUAUAGACACUGCUUCCUCUACACCCUCCGCCCUGACUCCAGCCUGCAUCUCAAGCCAGAGCUCAUUCUCCGCCAGCCUGCCCAUCUGCCUUCAUCUGCCAGCACCUGCCUCCCUGCCAUACCAUCCUACACAAUAAACACUCUUGUUACCUGA
Molecule: long non-coding RNA, 357 nt
Organism: Seriola aureovittata
Lineage: Eukaryota; Metazoa; Chordata; Actinopteri; Carangiformes; Carangidae
Exons: 2
Source: RefSeq, a predicted model, not a curated record